GACCUCUUUGAAAAGAAAGGCUACACCUUUGACUAUGCCUAUGAUUGGGUUGGGAGACCUAUUCCUACUCCAGUAGGGUCAGUUCACGUAGAUUCUGGUGCAUCUGCAAUAACUCGAGAAAGCCACACACAUAGGGAUCGGCCAUCACAACAGCAGCCUCUUCGAAAUCAGAGCCUUAGGACUGUUACAGCUGAGCAUUAUGAUGUUAACAACUCAGCCAUCUGGCACAGGGGAAGAGGCACCUAAACAGAUUCUUCUGGACAAAAGUCACAUAUGAGCAAGAUCAGAAUAGUAGCAGAUGUAAAAAGCAGAAUGUAUCAUCAGAGCGCCGAGGAGAGUGGGAAAUUCAGCCCAGCCGGCAGACCAAUACCUCAUACCUAACGUCUCACUUGGCUGCAGACCGCCAUGGGGGAUCAGUGCAGCCAAGGUCUUUAACAAGCAGAGUGUUUUGUCCAGCAGUGAGGCCCCUUUUCCCACUUCCCAGCACCCACAUAAACAGGAAUAAUGUGCUGGAAAUGAAACCAGGUGGCAGAAGCAGCUACACAUGCAAGAGAAGCCUGAUUGGGUCCACAUUAACCAGAUGACAGGAGUGAGAGCCUUCACUUACAUUUCGGGGACCAUCAGUGAGAACUGGGAUGGCAGUGAACCUGAAAUAAAGAUCGUUGAAA
Molecule: long non-coding RNA, 668 nt
Filed under: Homo sapiens (human)
Lineage: Eukaryota; Metazoa; Chordata; Mammalia; Primates; Hominidae
Description: HSALNT0221428
Source: RNAcentral